RNAcentral lists this ribosomal RNA (531 nucleotides) under uncultured bacterium. RNAcentral's name for it is "bacterial SSU rRNA". It matches the Rfam family "Bacterial small subunit ribosomal RNA", at positions 355 to 896 of the family's 1533-position model. The record is from RNAcentral.
UGGGGAAUAUUGCACAAUGGGCGGAAGCCUGAUGCAGCAACGCCGCGUGCGGGAUGACGGCCUUCGGGUUGUAAACCGCUUUCGCCUGUGACGAAGCGUGAGUGACGGUAAUGGGUAAAGAAGCACCGGCUAACUACGUGCCAGCAGCCGCGGUGAUACGUAGGGUGCGAGCGUUGUCCGGAUUUAUUGGGCGUAAAGGGCUCGUAGGUGGUUGAUCGCGUCGGAAGUGUAAUCUUGGGGCUUAACCCUGAGCGUGCUUUCGAUACGGGUUGACUUGAGGAAGGUAGGGGAGAAUGGAAUUCCUGGUGGAGCGGUGGAAUGCGCAGAUAUCAGGAGGAACACCAGUGGCGAAGGCGGUUCUCUGGGCCUUUCCUGACGCUGAGGAGCGAAAGCGUGGGGAGCGAACAGGCUUAGAUACCCUGGUAGUCCACGCUGUAAACGGUGGGUACUAGGUGUGGGGUCCAUUCCACGGGCUCCGUGCCGUAGCUAACGCUUUAAGUACCCCGCCUGGGGAGUACGGCCGCAAGGCUA